GCAGCAACAAGUUGUGCUUUAGUUCACAAGUGUGAGUGUGUGUACUGUCCCUUUGCCCCGGUUCUCACACUCCUUUGUGAAAGUUAGUCCCUGCAGAUGGAAUGUCAUGCAAAGCCUGGAGAUAUUUUGCUUCUCUUUCUGCUGCUGCUGGCUCGUUCAGACCCCUCCCCUUCACACACUCCCCCUCCUCUCCUCUCUCUUCUUCUGUUGUCUUUGCAGCUGAUACACAUGGCUCUGACCUCUGGCAUUCAGUAGUCUUCCUCAUGCACAGGCUAUGACCUCAGUAUGAUAAACUCCUCUACCAAGACUCCAGCUCAGGAGUCUGUUUAGGUCUCUAUCAUGUGUUGAUAUGCUUCCCAGUUUGUAAUCAAUCAUUAAUCUGAACAGAGAGAGAAGUUGAAGUUCAAGUCUGCAAACAUUUCCUCUUCUCAAGUUAUGUAACACAAGUUUUACCCCAUUGCUGUUCAAGUUUAUCGUCUUUUAAGGCAAAAUCUGAAGGAUCUGGAACUUCAAAUUUGUUCCAGAUGUGGGCUUCUGUUUCAUAUGCCGGCUCAAGUAUGUUGAAAACCCACAAACCAUGUUAUAAGUCUCCAAAGAUGAUCAACCAGGAGUGAUCCAAACUUUAUUUUUAGCAUUGUGCAACAGAUGUUUGCCUCUGAAAUUACUGAUCUGCACCAUAACACCGUUCAUAGCCAGUCUUGGAGUGAAAAUCCUCAUCAGAGGCAAACUUUCCCACAAGUUUUUCAGUAACAGCUCCACAGGUAACAGGUUCAAAUUGAGUUUAGCGACAAAAAUGUGUUGUUUUCCUGCUGAACUCAAACAACACGGCUCUCUUGUAGACUGAGGACCAUAAAAGCGGCAAAAAUAGAAGAGUUUUAUUUACAUGGUGAAGAAUGUCACUGUGCCAUUUGGCGCUCAGACUGUCGUUCACACUUUCUUUCCGUGUGUAUCAAAACUGUCUAUUUUUGAAUCAGUGCCGGUUAUUGUGUUCAGGUCUCACUUAAAAGAUUUCUCAUCUUUUGAAGUGCAUCACUGGUGGAACCAAGAUUUUUUCAAGGCGAUUAAAGUCCGAACUAAAUAACUAUAAUAAAGUCAAGAAAACAUUUGGAAAAUUGUCGAAAUUGAUUAGAAAAAUGGCUAAAUUUGGAUCACAGAGUCUACAAAGUCAAAGCAGUUUGCAGAAUGUGGCUAACACUAGCAGACCAAGAAAGUUAAGGUCCUUACACACCAGGCGCGAAUUCGCCAGGCGAAUUAUUUGCCUUUUUUAAAAACAGCAUAAAGUCAAUGCAAGCUUCCACACUGGCUGUGAUUUUUCCGCGGGCCGAAAAGCAUCUUUUAUUUUUUCGCUCAUGUGUCGAAUUUUUCAGAGAUUCGCAGGCGAAUAUCUGGACCUGCUAGACCUCUGGCCAAUCAAAAGUCAAGUUGUUGAUGACGUCACAGACUAGUGCUGGACGAUAAUUCGAUAACAAUAUAUAUCGAUCGAUAGACGUGUGCUGCGAUAGAAAAAAAACGGGUCGAUAAAAAGUUCGAUAGAAAAACACAGUUUCCCUUUCUUUUUCAUCAUAGCCUAUCAUGUAGCUUUUACUACAGUCAUUACUUCCUCCCAACCAAUCACAAACGCAGACCCUGGUACGCUACGGCACCAAGCCCAGCCCCUAUCAAACCACAACAGACAGCACGUGUAUUAGAAAAAAUGAUACAGCAAGGAGAGGCGGAGGACAUUGUCAGUAGUUCACCAGCAUGGCAAUGUUUUGGUUUUUAGAAGUAUGACAAAAAGCGAACAGCGGUCGUUUGCAAAAUUUGCAGAGAAUUAGUAAAAACCAAGUCUGGUAACACAACCAACUUGUUUUACCAUCUAAACCGGUCGCACCCGCAGGAGUACGAGCUGUGUCGGCCGCGCCGCGGCUCCACGUCGUCGGAGGAGGAAUCCUCUGGAACCGCUGCCAGCACCAGCACAAAGCAAGUGAAGCAGACCAAACUGGACUUCGUUUCUUGCCAAAAUACGACAAAGCGUCCGAGCGGCAUAAGGACAUCACUCAUGCAGUAACAUGCUGCAUAGCGAGGGACAUACUGCCAAUAACUACCGUUGAAAAGCCUGGCUUCGACCAGCUUCUAGCCACUCUCGACCCGCGAUAUGAAGUGCCCGGCCGCAAGUAUUUCUCAAA
This is a non-coding RNA of Xyrichtys novacula (pearly razorfish), 2165 nucleotides long. Lineage: Eukaryota; Metazoa; Chordata; Actinopteri; Labriformes; Labridae. The record is from the annotation of a GenBank genome assembly.